CCUACGGGCGACUGCAGUGAGGAAUAUUGGUCAAUGGGCGCGAGCCUGAACCAGCCAAGCAGCGUGAAGGAUGACUGCCCUACGGGUUGUAAACUUCUUUUAUAAAGGAAUAAAGUGAGGCACGUGUGCCCUUUUGUAUGUACUUUAUGAAUAAGGAUCGGCUAACUCCGUGCCAGCAGCCGCGGUAAUACGGAGGAUCCGAGCGUUAUCCGGAUUUAUUGGGUUUAAAGGGAGCGUAGAUGGGUUGUUAAGUCAGUUGUGAAAGUUUGCGGCUCAACCGUAAAAUUGCAAUUGAAACUGGCAGCCUUGAGUACAGGUGAGGUAGGCGGAAUGCGUGGUGUAGCGGUGAAAUGCUUAGAUAUCACGAAGAACUCCGAUUGCGAAGGCAGUUCACUGGACUGAAACUGACACUGAGGCUCGAAAGUGUGGGUAUCAAACAGGAUUAGAUACCCUAGUAGUC
RNAcentral lists this ribosomal RNA (460 nucleotides) under uncultured bacterium. RNAcentral describes it as "partial 16S ribosomal RNA". It matches the Rfam family "Bacterial small subunit ribosomal RNA", at positions 338 to 795 of the family's 1533-position model. The record is from RNAcentral.